AUACGGAGGGUGCAAGCGUUAAUCGGAAUUACUGGGCGUAAAGCGCGCGUAGGCGGAUAUUUAAGUCUCAUGUGAAAGCCCUGGGCUCAACCUGGGAACUGCAUGGGAUACUGGGUAUCUAGAAUACAGUAGAGGGUAGUGGAAUUUCAGGUGUAGCGGUGAAAUGCGUAGAGAUCUGAAGGAACAUCAGUGGCGAAGGCGACUACCUGGACUGAUAUUGACGCUGAGGUGCGAAAGCGUGGGGAGCAAACAGGAUUAGAAACCCUAGUAGUCC
This 274-nucleotide ribosomal RNA is filed under the name uncultured bacterium. RNAcentral describes it as "partial 16S ribosomal RNA". It matches the Rfam family "Bacterial small subunit ribosomal RNA", at positions 523 to 796 of the family's 1533-position model. The record is from RNAcentral.